Molecule: ribosomal RNA, 364 nt
Filed under: Cremnoconchus conicus
Lineage: Eukaryota; Metazoa; Mollusca; Gastropoda; Littorinimorpha; Littorinidae
Description: partial small subunit ribosomal RNA
Source: RNAcentral
GCUUACCUGAGUACUACGAAUAUCUUAAUUUAAAACUCAAGGGCUUGGCGGUGCCUUAAACUUUUUAGGGGAAUUGCCUCAUAAUCGAUAGUCGCGUUAGACCUUUCCUUCCUUUGUGAAAUUCAGUAUGUAUACCGUCGUCGUCAGGUAACUUUUAAAAUAUAAAAGUUAGCGAUUAAAAAGAAAAUCCUUAACGUCCAAACCAGGGGGCACUUAAGGGGUGGAGAGGAUGGGUACAAUUAAGAAUUAUAAUUACGAAAAUAAACUGGAACGGUUUUCUUGAAGGAGGACUUAAUAGUAAAAAAUUUAUGUAAAGUUUUUGAAUUAAGCUCUAAGGCGUGCACACAUCGCCCGUCACUCUCGA